GUCUCUGGCCAUGCCACCCUGAACAUGCCUGACCUUGUGUGAUCAUACAAGCGAAGCAGGGUUGGGUCUGGCAGGCACUUGUGUAGGAGAAACACUGUGACAACCAGAACCA
RNAcentral lists this ribosomal RNA (112 nucleotides) under Ochotona princeps (American pika). Lineage: Eukaryota; Metazoa; Chordata; Mammalia; Lagomorpha; Ochotonidae. The record is from RNAcentral.